AUUUUCUCUCUCUGCCUUGAACAGAUUUCUUCCUUCUCUGCUCAAUACCAAUAACAAUCUCCGAGGACCAAGAAGGGAAGCUCAAGUAAGGAAUUACAAAGUGUACCUAUGCCUGAAACCACUCGAGAUUCAGGCCCGGGCCUCUGCGGUAAGGACUCAGCCUCUAUCAGGGAGAGGCGACGUCUGAAGACAACAUGUUGGAUGACAGCAGGAGACGACUGAUGAGUAACAGUUGAGCUAAAGGCUCCCAUGCAGCUCCACGUCUCAUCGGCACUGACAGAUUCGGGACGGCAACAUUGUGGAGCAAUCUGCAUCAGCAAGACAUGGGACAAAACAACAAUAACUGCACAUGGUAUUUUG
This is a long non-coding RNA of Morone saxatilis (striped sea-bass), 360 nucleotides long. RefSeq lists it as uncharacterized. The transcript is spliced from 3 exons. The record is from RefSeq and is a predicted model, not a curated record. NCBI's taxonomy places the organism in Eukaryota, Metazoa, Chordata, Actinopteri, Moronidae.